AUGAUGGAGUUCUGGUUUAUGACCACAGUCUUUUUUGUUAACACAGGUCAACCCGAUUUAUCUGUGCAAGAGGAGGUAAAGGAGGGUGAGAAUGUGUCUGCAUCCUGCUCCGUGUUUCACUCCUGCCCCACAUAUCCACCUUCUUUCAUCUGGAGUCACUCUGGAGAACAGCACGAUCAAACACAGCAGCUUCAUGAAGGCCAGUGGAAUUCAACAUCUACUCUGACCUUUCACCCAAACCGCUCUGAUCACAACAAGCCUUUAAAAUGCAAAAUAACAUACCAUCAUGGGCUGUACGUGGAAACCUCUAAGAUACUUCAAGUAAAAUAUGCCCCUGACAUCAAGACUUCCUCAAAGUGCUCCUCCGAGGGCGGCGUGGUAAAGUGUGAGUGCAUCGUAGAGUCCGAGCCUCCCAGCAUGGUCUAUUUUAUUCUUGGUGACAGAGUCAUGCAAAGCAGCAAAGCAGAGAAAAAUGGCUCUGUUACUAUUGAGACUCUGCAGACAGACUUUGGGUCUUUCAGCUUUGUGCACUGCCUGGCAAACAACAGGCUGGGAUAUGACAACAUCUUACUCUCUUUACCUGUUAAAGACAACAUGCAGAAUAUUCUUAUCUCGUCUGGAGCAGGUGUGAUUUUGCUGAUUAUUUUGAUAGGAAGUGGAGUGGGAGUUGUUAAAAAAUGCAGGGGGAGAUCAAGAGACACAACAACCACUAACUUGAGCACCAUGAUGUCAGACAGACCUGUGGAGCUCCCUCAUAGUGGCCCACCAAAAAGGAAAAUGAGCCGUAAGGACAUCCCUUCCCCUGAUGUGUACACCAAUUAUCCUGUCUAUGGCAACGUAGGGAUAAGUAAUGUUUUCUUCAUUAGUUCAUUCAUAUUGUGCAUGCAUGAAACAGGGGAGUGA
Long non-coding RNA from Oreochromis niloticus (Nile tilapia), 903 nucleotides. The record is from Ensembl. NCBI's taxonomy places the organism in Eukaryota, Metazoa, Chordata, Actinopteri, Cichliformes, Cichlidae.